GAUGAAGAACGUAGCGAAAUGCGAUAAGUAGUGUGAAUUGCAGAAUUCAGUGAAUCAUCGAAUCUUUGAACGCACAUUGCGCCCCUUGGUAUUCCAUGGGGCAUGCCUGUUCGAGCGUCAUUUGUACCUUCAAGCUCUGCUUGGUGUUGGGUGUUUGUCUCGCCUCUGCGUGUAGACUCGCCUCAAAACAAUUGGCAGCCGGCGUAUUGAUUUCGGAGCGCAGUACAUCUCGCGCUUUGCACUCAUAACGAUGACGUCCAAAAGUACAUUUUUACACUCUUGACCUCGGAUCAGGUAGGGAUACCCGCUGAACUUAAGCAUAUCAAUAAGCGGAGGA
RNAcentral lists this unclassified non-coding RNA (337 nucleotides) under soil metagenome. RNAcentral's name for it is "partial contains 5.8S ribosomal RNA, internal transcribed spacer 2, and large subunit ribosomal RNA". The stretch from base 1 to 120 matches the Rfam family "5.8S ribosomal RNA", at positions 35 to 154 of the family's 154-position model. The record is from RNAcentral.